GAUCACAACAUUUGUGUGAUUAAAAAAAGCUAUGAGUCUAUACAUAGAUUUUUUUUUAUUUUUAAAAAAUAGAUCAGUUUCCUCUCAAAAAUGCAAAAAAUAGAGAAAAAAGUAGUAGAAAAUACCUAAAAAAUACCCUAAUAUUAGUGCAAAAGUAGACAAAAUCAAAAGAAAAUACCCAGAAUAUCAGUGUUAGUCUUCAACACUCGAAUUUAAAAUUAUGGAGAACCUGUUGUGAUGCAUGUAUACACUAAGCAUGAGAGCCCUCAUCAAUCUCUGUAUUGUAGAUGGUUGAAGCAUGUUUUCUACGAACACAUUCUGUAAAUAGAUUUAUGAUACAGAGUGUAUUUUGAACGAGGAAACCAGGAUGUAGAUAUUAAAGGAAACCUAUUGUAUACAUGAGGUCAAACUUCAAACUAUAUUAUGUUCAUUAUGUUUGUGUCCGGUCUCGUGGAAGUAAAAUGGCAAAUCUGUAUAUAACAGGUUUUUUGAUUUAUUAUAUAGUUUUCCCGAGUUUUGUAUGCACUUGACAAAAAACGAGAUCUUACUGUUUUGAAGAGAUUGUUUCAGUUUUUCAAAAACAUGGCACGUGCAACAUCCUUAAAGAAAAUUUGGAGCAUUCCUUCAAAGAAAGAAAGAAUUCAGUCCAUUCUUGCGAGGAACUCUGCGAUAUUUCUUUGACAAAUCCGUCUUUGAAGAAAGUCAACAUAGCCUCUAUAAAUGUAUCCCGAUUCGGAUACAACAGAGAUGUCGAUUUCACCAUACAGACUGGCAACUGUAAUACAAUAGACAUGGCAAAUCAUUUCAACAUAAUCUGUGGACAGACCAGGAGCGUAGAAAAACAUAUUUUCGAGAGAUGCCAUGACAAUCGUCAGUGUAGAAAAACAAUUGGGGCUACAUUAUGUGAUAGUUUGAAUGGCAGAAAGGUUUGUCAGUAUUCCCAAGGCUACAUGUAUUUUGACAAAAGAUGUAUUCAGAGUAGUGUUUCUUUCAAUUCCACUUGUGAGUUGACAGACCAGUGCAGAAUGAAAACUAAAGGCAGUGCUUGCAUCAGAAAGAAAAAGAAGACAGAAAGACAUGUCGGUGUGAUGUUGGAUUUCAAAGAAAUGAGAAUGAGUGCAUAUUAACAGAGAUUAUUAUUUCAACCGUUGCACCCGUAGGCUCCAUUGGAUUUCAAAGUUCUUCAAAAAGCUAUCCAAAUAACGAAUGGUUUAUAAUUUCUGUGGCAUCUGCUGGGUUCGGUCUCGGUAUUAUUUGCAGCAGCAUCGUAUUCCUUGUCAUUUGGAAAUGUAGAAACCGAAAAAAGAUUUCAUGUACUGAAAAGUACCCUGUAUCAGAUACCACAACAGAGAUGUACAAAACCUCCCACGGCAACAAUGAUAUGCAUGGAGAAAAUGAAGUGAAUUUUAAGAUUGUUUAUUCAAACCAGAACUCAAAUCCCUAUAGUCAUGCGAGAAAGGUUUCAACAGAAGAUGAUGUUUACAAUCAUUUAAGAGAAAGUCCAGAAGUAUUCCUUAAUCAUGACAUUUAUGAUGUUUCUCAGCCUUUGUCUGUUAAUGUGAAUUCUGGAUCAUCGACUGGUGACUACGAAUUGGCAAAGAACACGUUUAUGACUGCAUUAUAAAAAAAUGUCUCCAUAUUGUCACCACAGUCCAAAAAAAGAAGGACAUAUUUCCUCACGAUUGUUAUUUUUUUUUUAAAUACGAGGGGUGAUAAAAAAAAUUCGCUAACUAUCUCUAUAUUUACAAAACCACGAUUCAGAUCAGAGUUAAAUUUGGCACACGUAUAGUCAAGCACAUGUUUUUAAAAGCAUAUGAGAGGUAAUGAUUUUCUCCAUGAUUGUGACGACACAAUGUGAAAAUAACGUCAAUAUAUAGGUGACUGGUAAUUAAUGAAAAUUGGUUGUCACAGUCUUACUAGAGCAACAAAUGGCUGUAAAGUUGAACGUAUAACUUUGAAAUUCCUUUGAAGUAUCUUUUAAUGAUUUGUACAAGGCUUAUGAAGACAAUAGACUUUCUAGACAUUCAGUCAUUAAUUGGAUU
Molecule: long non-coding RNA, 2042 nt
Organism: Saccostrea cuccullata (small rock oyster)
Lineage: Eukaryota; Metazoa; Mollusca; Bivalvia; Ostreida; Ostreidae
Exons: 10
Source: RefSeq, a predicted model, not a curated record